CCUACGGGAGGCUGCAGUGAGGAAUAUUGGUCAAUGGACGGAAGUCUGAACCAGCCAUGCCGCGUGCAGGAAGACGGCUCUAUGAGUUGUAAACUGCUUUUGUACAAGGGUAAACCUGAAUACGUGUAUUCAGCUGAAAGUACUGUACGAAUAAGGAUCGGCUAACUCCGUGCCAGCAGCCGCGGUAAUACGGAGGAUCCAAGCGUUAUCCGGAUGUAUUGGGUUGAAAGGGUGCGUAGGCGGAUUGAUAAGUUAGAGGUGAAAUGUCCGAGCUUAACUCGGGAACUGCCUCUCAUACUGUUGAUCUAGCGCGUAGUUGCGGUAGGCUGAAUGUAUGGUGUAGCGGU
Molecule: ribosomal RNA, 347 nt
Filed under: uncultured bacterium
Lineage: Bacteria
Description: partial 16S ribosomal RNA
Rfam family: Bacterial small subunit ribosomal RNA
Source: RNAcentral